This 325-nucleotide small nuclear RNA is filed under the name Nannospalax galili (Upper Galilee mountains blind mole rat). RNAcentral describes it as "7SK RNA (ENSNGAG00000007828.1)". It matches the Rfam family "7SK RNA". Rfam says of the family: 7SK was discovered as an abundant small nuclear RNA in the mid-70s but a possible function has only recently been suggested. The record is from Rfam by way of RNAcentral. Lineage: Eukaryota; Metazoa; Chordata; Mammalia; Rodentia; Spalacidae.
GGAUGUGAGGGUGAUUUCACUAUGACAUCUGUUACUCCGUUGAUCGCCAGGGUUGAUUCGACUGAUCUGGCUGGCCAGGCAGGUGUCCCUGUCCUCCCUCAACACUCCAGUCCACAUGUGUCCCUCCUGGAGCUGCACACUUGGUUGAAGAAAACGACCUUCCUCGAUAGAGGAGGACUGGUCUUCAGUCAAGCAUGUAUGAAUAGCUGCACUCCUCUGCUAGAACCUUGAAACAAGCUCUCAAGAAAAGUAAAGGAAUGAAGAAAAAAAAAUCAGGGUUCUGGUCGAAGUUCUGGCAUAUUGGACAAGUCAUAUGCUCCUCUUU